CCUACGGGGUGCUGCAGUGGGGAAUAUUGCACAAUGGGGGAAACCCUGAUGCAGCGACGCCGCGUGAAGGAAGAAGUAUUUCGGUAUGUAAACUUCUAUCAGCAGGGAAGAAAAUGACGGUACCUGACUAAGAAGCCCCGGCUAACUACGUGACAGCAGCCGCGGUAAUACGUAGGGGGCAAGCGUUAUCCGGAUUUACUGGGUUUAAAGGGAGCGUAGGCGGCGAUGCAAGUCAGAAGUGAACGCCCGGGGCUCAACUCCGGGACUGCUUUUGAAACUGUGUUGCUAGAUUGCAGGAGAGGUAAGUGGAAUUCCUAGUGUAGCGGUGAAAUGCGUAGAUAUUAGGAGGAACACCAGUGGCGAAGUCGGCUUACUGGACUGUAAAUGACGCUGAGGCUCGAAAGCGUGGGGAGCAAACAGGAUUAGAUACCCUAGUAGUC
This 440-nucleotide ribosomal RNA is filed under the name uncultured bacterium. RNAcentral's name for it is "partial 16S ribosomal RNA". It matches the Rfam family "Bacterial small subunit ribosomal RNA", at positions 338 to 795 of the family's 1533-position model. The record is from RNAcentral.